UCUACAGAAGAAGAAGAAUUAGAAAGUAAUAAAAAUAAGACAUCCUUUAUAAUAUAAUGUGAAAAUUUCCAAAUCGAAACUAAAUUAACUGCAGUGGUUUUACUGCAUAUCAAUGAUACGGUGCCGUAGUGUGCGUGACGACCUUUAGAUUUACAAUAUAAGUAAUGCCGUUUAGCGUUGAAUUUUUUUUUAAUUAAUACUCUCUUCAGAUUCUCGAGAAACACCUCCUACUACGGGGGUAGGUGAAUGUAGUCACCUACAUUUUCAAUUUAUUCGGUUACAAAAUGGACGUGAUUCUAGUGGAACAUUGGAAUUUAUGAGCAGUGAACGUACCGAGAUGCAACAAAGUGUAUACGAUUCGGUAGAGCCACUUUGAAAUUUACUACUCGGGGUGUUUUCGAGGUCGCAGAGCACGACAAUGACCUGCGAGGUACCUGGUGCACGUAUUGGCAUCGUCUCCUGCAGUCUCGUGGAAAUACGUUAUGUAAUUGGAGGAAUAUUUAUAUCUUGGGGGUUUUAGAGGUCGCUGAAUACGAAUAUUACCUGCGAUACACCUGGUUGCCGGGGUAGAUGGUUUUUAAGUCGUAUCUUGAUCCUUCUGGUUCUUUAUGUACAUAUACGUUAACUUCUGGAAUCCAGGUACUUCGGAGGUCAUCGUCGUCGUGAAAUUCUUGUGUAAUGACCUCGAAAUCCUCCAGAAUGUGGUGGAUAUUCGAUUAAUUUAACGUGUUUCCAUAGGGCUCCAGAAGAUGACUUAUAAACCAUCAACCCCGGGCAACCAAAACCCUAGUUGAUCUUUUCUGUCGUGAUUUCGUGUUCAGAAACCUUGUACACCCAGGAAUACAUAUAUUCGACCAAUUUCAUAAUGAUUUUCCUUGAAACUCUAAUAGACGACGUAGAUGUCGUCCAACUUGUGACUCAGGUACUUCGUAGCCCUUUUCUGUCGUGAGUUCGUGUUCAGGAACAUCAAAAACCUCCAGAGGAUAUAUAUUCAACCAAUUUUAUAAUAAUUUUAUUUGACACUCCAGUAGACGACGUAGAUGUCGCCCAACUUGUACACCAGAUAUCUCGUAGACCUUUUCUUUCGUGAUUCGACUAUUCGAAGUGCACUUUUCAAAAAACAUUCGUUCCCUGCACAAAUGCAAUUACAUUCCUUAUUAACAAUUUUUAUUUCCCGAGACUGUCCCAUAUCAAAUACAUUUAGUUGCAUCUUACUGUUUAGAUAUUCCUAAUUUUUCGUCUUAUUUCCUGGACUAAAUUGUGUAGAUUCGCGCCAUAAAAACCGACACUAGCCGAGGAUAUACGAUCACAACGUUUCCGCUUUCGUACUCGCUUUCCGCCAUGCAGUCUCGUGAAGAAUAUGGAGGUGGUAGCGCCCCGUUAGUUCUUCCAAGUUUUCUAAUUUCAAUAGAUAAUCUGAUGAAACUAUUAAAGGUAUAUAGUUGUUGAAAUGCUUUACGUUCGAAAUAAAAUAAAAAAAGAAAAGCACCUUAUAUAGGAUGUCCCGUUCGGAGGAAGAAAGAAAUUACGUUGUUGUUUCCCUACUUCAAGUAUUCUCAGGAAUAUAUAAUGGCGAGCUUAAAAGUAAGUGGUGUGCAGUGCCAUAAUAGAAAAAUGGACGUGGAAAAAAUAACGGACUCUACAAGUCUCAAGAAAUGCAAAUAAACCUCAGCAUGGUUCCUAAUUAUAAUAAAUCGGUUCUUCAACAAUAAAUUCAAAUUUUAAAAAUUGUGGCGAUAUUUGCGUUAAUUAUUUUAUUUAAUUUAAAAUAUUUUUUAUUUACCUUAAAUCCAUUAAAAAUGCCCUAAAAACCAUUUUUUUUUUAAAAUUAUGUUAAAUAUUAAAAAAUUAUUUUUGUUUAAUCAUUGUCUGAUAACUAUAGAAAAAAAUUUUUUCUAUUAAAAAUAAAUUUUCCUCCACGUUUUCAAUUUUUUUAUAAAUAUUCAUUAUUAAAAAUAAUCACAAUAAUUUUUUUAUUUUUUCCUAUUUAAAAGAAAUUUUGAAUAUAUUGAAAAGAAUUAUUAAAAAUUUCCAAAUUUUAUUAAAAAGCAAAUUUUCCUAAAUACAAUUUUUAUUAAAAAAAAAAACUUUUAUUGUUUUAUUUUUUUCGUCUGAUUAAAAAGACAAUGUAAGAAUUAUUUUU
Long non-coding RNA from Diorhabda sublineata, 2143 nucleotides. RefSeq lists it as uncharacterized. The transcript is spliced from 3 exons. NCBI's taxonomy places the organism in Eukaryota, Metazoa, Arthropoda, Insecta, Coleoptera, Chrysomelidae. The record is from RefSeq and is a predicted model, not a curated record.